UACGUAGGGGGCAAGCGUUGUCCGGAAUCAUUGGGCGUAAAGAGCGUGUAGGCGGCUUGGCAAGUCUGGUGUGAAAUCUUGCGGCUCAACCGCAAGCGGUCACUGGAAACUGCCUCGCUAGAGUCCGGAAGAGGAGAGCGGAAUUCCUGGUGUAGCGGUGGAAUGCGCAGAUAUCAGGAGGAACACCAAUGGCGAAGGCAGCUCGCUGGGACGUGACUGACGCUGAGACGCGAAAGCGUGGGGAGCAAACAGG
Molecule: ribosomal RNA, 253 nt
Filed under: uncultured bacterium
Lineage: Bacteria
Description: partial 16S ribosomal RNA
Rfam family: Bacterial small subunit ribosomal RNA
Source: RNAcentral